GCUUCUCAGUGUUUACAUCCCUCACCAUCACUUCCCACAAUUACCAAUAAUUCUAAUUUCCUUCAAACAACCACUAAUCCAUCCAUUUUACCUGUCUCAGUCCCAUUGCCAUCCAACCAGAAUUCAACUGACAUAUUUAUUCCACUUAACUCCAAUGCCUCUUAUCCAUCUCAUCCUUCGUCCACCAUGGCACCACAUUCCACCCAAUGUGUUCAU
Molecule: unclassified non-coding RNA, 216 nt
Filed under: Hevea brasiliensis (rubber tree)
Lineage: Eukaryota; Viridiplantae; Streptophyta; Magnoliopsida; Malpighiales; Euphorbiaceae
Source: RNAcentral